CAGCGGCGGACGGGUGAGUAAUGCCUAGGAAUCUGCCCGAUAGUGGGGGACAACGUUUCGAAAGGAACGCUAAUACCGCAUACGUCCUACGGGAGAAAGCAGGGGACCUUCGGGCCUUGCGCUAUCGGAUGAGCCUAGGUCGGAUUAGCUAGUUGGUGGGGUAAAGGCUCACCAAGGCGACGAUCCGUAACUGGUCUGAGAGGAUGAUCAGUCACACUGGAACUGAGACACGGUCCAGACACCUACGGGAGGCAGCAGUGGGGAAUAUUGGACAAUGGGCGAAAGCCUGAUCCAGCCAUGCCGCGUGUGUGAAGAAGGUCUUCGGAUUGUAAAGCACUUUAAGCUGGGAGGAAGGGCAGUAAGUUAAUACCUUGCUGUUUUGACGUUACCAGCAGAAUAAGCACCGGCUAACUUCGUGCCAGCAGCCGCGGUAAUACGAAGGGUGCAAGCGUUAAUCGGAAUUACUGGGCGUAAAGCGCGCGUAGGUGGUUCAGCAAGUUGGAUGUGAAAGCCCCGGGCUCAACCUGGGAACUGCAUCCAAAACUACUGGGCUAGAGUAUGGUAGAGGGUGGUGGAAUUUCCUGUGUAGCGGUGAAAUGCGUAGAUAUAGGAAGGAACACCAGUGGCGAAGGCGACCACCUGGACUAAUACUGACACUGAGGUGCGAAAGCGUGGGGAGCAAACAGGAUUAGAUACCCUGGUAGUCCACGCCGUAAACGAUGUCAACUAGUUGUUGGGUUCCUUGAGGACUUAGUAACGAAGCUAACGCGAUAAGUUGACCGCCUGGGGAGUACGGCCGCAAGGUUAAAACUCAAAUGAAUUGACGGGGGCCCCGCACAAGCGGUGGA
RNAcentral lists this ribosomal RNA (848 nucleotides) under uncultured bacterium. Its description in RNAcentral is "bacterial SSU rRNA". It matches the Rfam family "Bacterial small subunit ribosomal RNA", at positions 93 to 936 of the family's 1533-position model. The record is from RNAcentral.